RNAcentral lists this long non-coding RNA (4081 nucleotides) under Spirodela polyrhiza (greater duckweed). RNAcentral describes it as "long non-coding RNA (SPOL_LNC002003)". The record is from RNAcentral. Lineage: Eukaryota; Viridiplantae; Streptophyta; Magnoliopsida; Alismatales; Araceae.
UACCUCAUAUUGCCCACGUCGUUCCUGUGCUGUUCUUGGUGAGAGGGGAGAAAAUUAAUGGCUGCAUGGAUCUGCAAGGAAGAUGAAGAUAACUUUUUCCUGUCCGGUAAUAAAUGCAUGGAAUAGGAAAGAUCUAAGGGAAUAAAUUAUAUAAUAGUCAAUCUAAAUUUGCACAAACCCCAGUGAGCUGCAGCGAGUGUACAUGCGCCUCAUAAUGCUUCUGGCUGAUCUAGAGAGAGAGAGAGAGAGAUAGUAUGUUGACAAAACACAUGUAUGAGAAUAUGUGAAAAUAGUGUAAAAUAAAGAGUUUUAGAAGGAAAAUAAUAUGGCAAAAUUAUGUCAGACUUAUAAACAGCUGUGUUGAGCAAUCUAGGUUUAUGGACAAAGUGUGACGACUAAGAAAAAUCAGAUGAAAUCUAAAGAUAGAGGAAUAUUCUAUUUUCUCUGAAAAAUCUGGCACCUGAUAUCGACAAAACAUCUGUAACAAGGGUAAAGUAUCUUGAUAAGUCAUAAAAUCAAGGAUAUGUCAGGAAACUAGUGCUAACAUUUGCAGAUUAACUUGCUCAAAAAGAUAGUCAAAUUGACAAUACAACAUCAUAGUUCAUCAGAAAGUUGUUGUACAUGUUAACCCAGUCAAUAUUUGACCAAUCAAAACACAGAAAUUUAAAUUUCAAUCAUUUAGGUUUUGGGCUUUAUAAAUAGCUGAUUGAAAAAAGUUUCCAAAUCAUGCUUUUAGAAUCAAAUCAUCUAAUCUCGCAAGUUUUUAAAUCUACUCUAGAAAAUUUGUUACAACUUGUUACCGGCCAAAGCGUCUUCAAGUACCAAUACUAUUCAUAACACCAAAAAAAAUGCUAUAUUUUAAAGAUAUUUUAAGCUUAAUUUUUUAUAUGAUAAGUGUCUCAAAAAGUGCUUAAAACGUGGAUUAAUAGGAACGACGGUGCAUGUGUCCAGCGUGGGAGUGAUAGACCAGAAAUCUAUUGUAUAAGGGAUUUACUGAUCUCGUGAAAUUCAGUUGUAAUGUCUACAAGAGAACAGGAUAAAUUAAGGUUAGAAACCCUUAGAUUGUCAACAUCAGCUUUAAAAAGCUCUAACCACUCUUAAUCAAAAUGUUUCACACAAAGUUCUGGUGUGCUGACUGAAGUAGGUAUGUGUCAACCUAAUAUCUUCUAUGUUGACCCUUAAAAGUGUGUCCACCAUUCCUCCUGACAUAUAGCCUUGCCCAUCUUGAAACCUUCAUCCCCUUAAAAAACUAAAUUAUGAUGCCAUGAUCCAUCAAACGAUGAUAGUUAAGGAGCUGACAAACCAAAUCUGGGUUAAAUUAUUUCUAUAUAACUUCUAAUAUAAACCUUGAUGUCACACUUUCACUUUUUUUUUAAUCUCAAUUUAUGGUUAUUUGAAAUGCUCAUUUUGAAACUAAAAUGAUGUGGUGAGUUGUGUCAUAUUGGAAAAGGAAAGAUCAAGUCCCCAUGUUGGCCAUCCAAACUAAAGCUACAUUGCCUUCGUAGAAGAAUGAGUACCAAAGGUUCUCUUGUCAUCAAAGAAGGAAAAAACAAACUUUAGCAGAAGAAAGAUAUAUUUCAGCUAUCAACGUGACAUGAAAAGCAACAGAGUUAAAGGAAGAACUGUUACUGACGUUAAAUUUUAUUAACCCAGAUGGACAAUAUUUUCUUUCAACAUAUCCACUACUGGUGACCCAAGCAUGCCUAAACAUGUUAGAACUACAUCACCAGUUCUAUAUAUAAAAUGAUUUACUAUGUUAUGAUCAAGUUAAGUUCUAUGAGCAAGGAUGAUACUCUGUAAAUAUUUUUACUAAAUAUAUCAUAUUUGAGAAGCUAGAUAUGAUUGAAUAUCUUAUAUGAGCUGGAAAUAAAAAUGAACAUAAAAAUUAAACAUUUUUAUGAAGAAAAAUUUUAAGUUUUAGACUGUUCAACGAAAUAACUACCUUUAUUUACGUUUUGAAAGGAUGUGACAUUGUCAGGGAUAUAUUUAUGUAUCUAGUGACGAGGCACAUCUGAAAAUAGCCCUUCAAUAGUCUUCAAAUAUAAUUGUCUCAAUGUGGCUGCAUUCUGAUCACACCAUUUUCUAGGGUUAGGUCCCUUAGGAUACAGUGUUUAUAUUACAUCCUAUUUUGUCAAAACUAUGCUCCAUUUUUCUUCCUAUCAAUGAGAUAAAGGAUUAUUUACCAAAUUUAGGCUUUCAUCCUACUCCCUUGCAGCAACACAUAAGAGAUCAUCCUUAAGAGCUUAACUUUACCACCCUGUACUAGAGUAUCUCUUCUAUGCCUUUUGAGACGGGCGAAUCUUGUUCCAUGCAGGAGAAUGAUGGGGAUAAGUCCAGUGGGUAUAAAAUCCCCUGAAAUCAAAUUUUAAAUUUCAGGAAAUGCAAGUACAGGUGCAUACGCAUGUGAAUAAUUGAGACGAAUGGGUGACUGCUACGGUGGUCUCAGUAAAGAGUAUCAAUUUUUUAAAAUUCAACUCAUUCGAACCUAUCUGAGCUCUAUUACUUUUGUGCUCAUUUCUUUGUGUGGAGGGUAAUGUCGGAAUAUAUGCUCCGGAUGGUCAUUUUAACAUAUUUUCCCCAAUCGGGUACUAAAAUUUCUCUAGUUAGGAAGAUGAUUAUUAUUCCUUCCCGUGGAAGGUAUGCCUCUACCGUCCUUCCUGCUGCGUAAGCACUCAGUACGAAGAGUGAAAAGAUUUGCUGAAUUCAAACACUCAUGAUCCACAGUAGUGAUUGAUUACUUAUGCCGAUAUAGUUUUUGCGAUAGUCCUCAGGGGCCGGAUGAAUCUAAAAUAUCUUUCCCUCAGCAAGAUCCAAGGCAAUCUCUUCGUUCAUUGUAUUCGAAAAAAUAUAAAAUAUCUUCCUUCAGCAAGAUUCAUAUCGUGGUCAUCUGAAUCCAUCUCGAAACGACCCUACAAAAAAGUACUCACGCGAGGAUGCUGUCCUUCGCCUGAAGAGUACCAUCUGUUGUCCCUAGAAAGCCUCAUUCAAGAUGCUAUAUUUACAUAUGACACAAUUUUGAUAAGCACCUUUAGUUGACGAUGAAAACAGAAGGCAGGUUAUUUUCUCUUUCCUGAUUUUUUUUAAAUGAAAGUAUUAUAAAUUAUGACGCUGAUUGGUUCUAGUUGAUCUAAACUGAUAUAACAUGUGUUAAGUUCUGAUUCUUGUAUAUCUAAACCAUGCAUGCUGAUUCAGAAAUAAGUAAGAAACCAUAUUGCCAACUAUCUGAAUACGUCUUAAUAAUAACUAAAUAGAAGUAAAUAAUAUUACGUUUUUUUCCUGGGCAAGAAGCCAAAAAUUGUGCAAAACCUGUGUUACUGAUCUAUUGUAUGACUCUUAUGCUUAGAGAUAUGCGUGGAAGUCGAUACCAGACAUACAGUGUAUAGGACAGCGCACAAGAUGUUUCAAAUCUUCUCCUCGGAUACGCAACGAAAAUGGGAUCUCCAGUGUCUGAUCAUCAGCCCCUGCAUACAUUGACUCAUGUUGCGUAAAGUAAAUCGAGCAGAAGAGGCCUUAACGGAACCCGGAACCAGAACGGAUGUCGAAGGAAUGGCUUUCAAAGUUUGAGAUCGGCAUAUUGAGCACUGAAUUUCAUACAAACCUGUGAAGGGUCGCCCGAUGAGAUGCUGCGGAAGUACUGGAUUUUCUUGUGUUGGAGCAGGAAACGGGGGGAGGGCGAUUGGAAAACUUCGGGGCUUAAUGUCGGUAGAGGGAGAUUACCGGGCGCUCGCCUUUCUCUAGUUUCAGACAUAAGUACGCCUUUAGACGAACGCCUUUAUUAAAAUUUCUGCGAGGCCAUGGUAGUUACAACAACGCCAUCGUCCACCGCUGUAGUGACAAAUAGAAGGGCGCUGGUGCCGGGUGGACGUGGUGGGAGAGCCGACAGGAACGGCAGCUCCGUCCCCUGCUGCACAUGGGCGGCUGCGAUAUUGAACAACGAAGAUUCACGUGGGGUUACAGAGAGGAGGCAUUGACUCCACUUCUGUCCGGUGGUAGUUAGUUCGUUAUACUGUUGCCAAUCGAUCUUCAUCUAAAUGUAGAUGUCUGAGUCAUGCCUCUUCCUCUUCUUUGUACACUCGUAGGA